Molecule: ribosomal RNA, 901 nt
Filed under: Ramularia eucalypti
Lineage: Eukaryota; Fungi; Ascomycota; Dothideomycetes; Mycosphaerellales; Mycosphaerellaceae
Description: eukaryotic LSU rRNA
Rfam family: Eukaryotic large subunit ribosomal RNA
Source: RNAcentral
GCUGAACUUAAGCAUAUCAAUAAGCGGAGGAAAAGAAACCAACAGGGAUUGCCCUAGUAACGGCGAGUGAAGCGGCAACAGCUCAAAUUUGAAAUCUGGCGCAAGCCCGAGUUGUAAUUUGUAGAGGAUGCUUCUAGGUAGCGACCGGUCUAAGUUCCUUGGAACAGGACGUCAUAGAGGGUGAGAAUCCCGUAUGUGACCGGCCCGCACCUUCUACGUAGCUCCUUCGACGAGUCGAGUUGUUUGGGAAUGCAGCUCUAAAUGGGAGGUAAAUUUCUUCUAAAGCUAAAUACCGGCCAGAGACCGAUAGCGCACAAGUAGAGUGAUCGAAAGAUGAAAAGCACUUUGGAAAGAGAGUUAAAAAGCACGUGAAAUUGUUGAAAGGGAAGCGCUUACAACCAGACUUCUGGGCGGUGUUCCGCCGGUCUUCUGACCGGUCUACUCACCGUCCCGAGGCCAACAUCAUCUGGGACCGCCGGAUAAGACCUUAGGAAUGUAGCUCCCCUCGGGGAGUGUUAUAGCCUGUGGUGAUGCGGCGCGUCUCGGGUGAGGUCCGCGCUUCGGCAAGGAUGUUGGCGUAAUGGUUGUCAGCGGCCCGUCUUGAAACACGGACCAAGGAGUCUAACAUCUAUGCGAGUGUUCGGGUGUCAAACCCCUACGCGUAAUGAAAGUGAACGGAGGUGGGAAGGGUAACCUGCACCAUCGACCGAUCCUGAUGUCCUCGGAUGGAUUUGAGUAAGAGCAUAGCUGUUGGGACCCGAAAGAUGGUGAACUAUGCCUGAAUAGGGUGAAGCCAGAGGAAACUCUGGUGGAGGCUCGCAGCGGUUCUGACGUGCAAAUCGAUCGUCAAAUUUGGGUAUAGGGGCGAAAGACUAAUCGAACCAUCUAGUAGCUGGGUCCU